UAGAGUAGUUCUAUCUAUAUGCGUAUCUGUUGACCUGGUUGGUCGGUUGUUGCAUUCCGUAUCUGUUGACCUGGUUGGUGCACCCAUGUUAUUCCAUUAUACUCUGCUCGUUGUUUGCAUGCUUAGUAUCCUGAGUAGGAGUAGAGUAGUUCUAUCUAUAUGCGUAUCUGUUGACCUGGUUGGUCGGUUGUUGCAUUCCGUAUCUGUUGACCUGGUUGGUCGGUUCUCGUACUUCGUAUCAGUGACCUUGCUGGUCGGUUGGACUCUGUGGAUCUUAGGUCCAGGCAACGCAUUGACUCUCUCGCCAUGUGUUUCGAUCUGGUUGAUCGAGGUUCGGCGUUGUACGCCCUUGUUUCUGGCUUCGGCCUAGGCACCGGUUUCAGCCGGUUUUUGUAUUGAGCAUACCAGCAUGACUUAGUCACAGCACUUGGG
This 432-nucleotide long non-coding RNA is filed under the name Ananas comosus (pineapple). RNAcentral's name for it is "long non-coding RNA (ACOM_LNC003711)". Lineage: Eukaryota; Viridiplantae; Streptophyta; Magnoliopsida; Poales; Bromeliaceae. The record is from RNAcentral.